GAUGAACGCUAGCGGCAGGCUUAACACAUGCAAGUCGAGGGGCAGCAUAAUGGAUAGCAAUAUCUAUGGUGGCGACCGGCGCACGGGUGCGUAACGCGUAUGCAACCUACCUUUAACAGGGGGAUAACACUGAGAAAUUGGUACUAAUACCCCAUAAUAUCAUAGAAGGCAUCUUUUAUGGUUGAAAAUUCCGAUGGUUAGAGAUGGGCAUGCGUUGUAUUAGCUAGUUGGUGGGGUAACGGCUCACCAAGGCGACGAUACAUAGGGGGACUGAGAGGUUAACCCCCCACACUGGUACUGAGACACGGACCAGAAUCCUACGGGAGGCAGCAGUGAGGAAUAUUGGUCAAUGGACGCAAGUCUGAACCAGCCAUGCCGCGUGCAGGAUGACGGCUCUAUGAGUUGUAAACUGCUUUUGUACGAGGGUAAACGCAGAUACGUGUAUCUGUCUGAAAGUAUCGUACGAAUAAGGAUCGGCUAACUCCGUG
RNAcentral lists this ribosomal RNA (488 nucleotides) under uncultured bacterium. Its description in RNAcentral is "partial 16S ribosomal RNA". It matches the Rfam family "Bacterial small subunit ribosomal RNA", at positions 28 to 507 of the family's 1533-position model. The record is from RNAcentral.